Non-coding RNA from Bombyx mori (domestic silkworm), 84 nucleotides. The record is from Rfam. Lineage: Eukaryota; Metazoa; Arthropoda; Insecta; Lepidoptera; Bombycidae.
UUAACUCAAAAUUGUAUGAAGUUGGAACGUUUGCCUACGUUUGCCGCUAGGGGCGCUGUUCCAACUUCAUACAAAUUUGAGUUA